AGGAAUAUUGGUCAAUGGACGAGAGUCUGAACCAGCCAAGUAGCGUGCAGGAAGACGGCCCUAUGGGUUGUAAACUGCUUUUAUAAGGGAAUAAAGUUAGUCUCGUGAGACUUUUUGCAUGUACCUUAUGAAUAAGGACCGGCUAAUUCCGUGCCAGCAGCCGCGGUAAUACGGAAGGUCCGGGCGUUAUCCGGAUUUAUUGGGUUUAAAGGGAGCGUAGGCCGGAGAUUAAGCGUGUUGUGAAAUGUAGACGCUCAACGUCUGCACUGCAGCGCGAACUGGUUUCCUUGAGUACGCACAAAGUGGGCGGAAUUCGUGGUGUAGCGGUGAAAUGCUUAGAUAUCACGAAGAACUCCGAUUGCGAAGGCAGCUCACUGGAGCGCAACUGACGCUGAAGCUCGAAAGUGCGGGUAUCGAACAGGAUUAGAUACCCUGGUAGUCCGCACGGUAAACGAUGGAUGCCCGCUGUUGGUCUGAAUAGGUCAGCGGCCAAGCGAAAGCAUUAAGCAUCCCACCUGGGGAGUACGCCGGCAACGGUGAAACUCAAAGGAAUUGACGGGGGCCCGCACAAGCGGAGGAACAUGUGGUUUAAUUCGAUGAUACGCGAGGAACCUUACCCGGGCUUGAAUUGCAGAGGAAGGAUUUGGAGACAAUGACGCCCUUCGGGGUCUCUGUGAAGGUGCUGCAUGGUUGUCGUCAGCUCGUGCCGUGAGGUGUCGGCUUAAGUGCCAUAACGAGCGCAACCCCUCUCCUUAGUUGCCAUCAGGUCAAGCUGGGCACUCUGGGGACACUGCCACCGUAAGGUGUGAGGAAGGUGGGGAUGACGUCAAAUCAGCACGGCCCUUACGUCCGGGGCUACACACGUGUUACAAUGGCAGGUACAGAGAGACGGUCCCUUGCAAAACGGAUCAAAUCCUUAAAGCCUGUCUCAGUUCGGACUGGGGUCUGCAACCCGACCCCACGAAGCUGGAUUCGCUAGUAAUCGCGCAUCAGCCAUGGCGCGGUGAAUACGUUCCCG
RNAcentral lists this ribosomal RNA (1018 nucleotides) under uncultured bacterium. Its description in RNAcentral is "bacterial SSU rRNA". It matches the Rfam family "Bacterial small subunit ribosomal RNA", at positions 357 to 1376 of the family's 1533-position model. The record is from RNAcentral.